GUAAUCAGGGGUAGCGGGGAGUGUGAUGAGUGACACCCACUCUAGUUGAUUUCUUUGUUAGGGGCUAAUGAGACUUUAGAGCUUAUAUUUAUAUUGUUUUAAGACUGUGUUGGAUUUAUCAUUAUGGAGUUCAGACUUUAUUAUCCAUAUUGAUAUUUUGUUUGUUAAAUCAUUAUAAUAUUUCCGAAUAAAUUUAGAAUCAUUUAAUCAUUUAGCCCUAUUGUAAAAGUGGGGUGUUACAUUUUGGCAUCAGAGCUUAGGUUAUGAUUCUGUAGACUAGCCUUAGGGCAUUUGACCUGUGAGUUUUGGGUUGACUUCGUAUGGGUAGAAGUAAGAUUUUGAUAUACCUGCGAUAUUUACUCGAUAAUAUUCACUAUAUAUGUGUUCACAUAAUAAAUGUUGCAGGAUGCCGCCUAGAAG
This 420-nucleotide long non-coding RNA is filed under the name Daucus carota (carrot). Its description in RNAcentral is "long non-coding RNA (DCAR_LNC006387)". Lineage: Eukaryota; Viridiplantae; Streptophyta; Magnoliopsida; Apiales; Apiaceae. The record is from RNAcentral.